Chelonia mydas (Green sea turtle) is the source of this 2454-nucleotide long non-coding RNA. RefSeq lists it as uncharacterized. The record is from RefSeq and is a predicted model, not a curated record. Lineage: Eukaryota; Metazoa; Chordata; Testudines; Cheloniidae. The transcript has 2 exons.
CGUUAAGAUUUUGGCAGCUCAUCACUGCCUAAAUGUGUUACCUGUAGCAAUCCUUUCCUCCACCAUCAGCACAGAUACCAAACUAAAUUCUCCAGAGACUCCACAGCCUUGGUUUCACACAUAGGAGAACAACAGUGCGCCCAGAAGAACAGCACCAACAAUGAGCCCCCUCCCCCCCCCCCCCCCCCCCCGCAAAAGUUCUAAUUACAAACUCGGUUAAAGAAACAGUCUGGCAGCAAUUAAGCCCAAGUCCAAAUGUUGUGGGCAACCUGGCAGCAUGUAGAUUUCAGCAAAAUCACAAUGCUGAUUUAGUGUCUGUACACUUAUCGCCUCCGGCUGCAAGCUGUGAUGUCACAAACACAGGAUGAUGAGAUCGGCACAGGAUCAAGCGGGGAAGUGGUGAACUGGAAUGUGCUUGGCAAGAAAAGCUCUUCCUCAGACAUGUGCCUACAAUCACAGCAAAAGGCACAAAGGAAAUAACCAGCCAAGGAGAUAUAGAGAUCUUAUGUAUAUUCUUGUUGUUUGCUCCUGUAUGAAAGUCGCCUUUUAAGGGUGUCUUCGCUGCAGAGGUUACCUGGGUCCAGGCACCCAGGUCUGGAUAUCCAGGUUAGCCAAGCCCACCUGCAAAGCAUUGCUGAGCCGUGCUCAAAUCACACCCAAGUAGUUGUGUCCACACUGGUGCCACAGGAACCUGGGUUAGGCUCUAGCAUUUCAAGGGGCAUAUCCCAUGGUUCUGAGCACCGCACUAAGCUGAGCUGCUCUAGGAAUUGUUUCUUGGUAUGUUGCAGGAGAACUUGCCUAUCCUGCCCCAGGCCUCUGUGCAGAAUGUUUGUAGCCCAUCAACUCAGUAAACUAAAACACUUAUGACUCUGCAUGCUCCUCACUUCUGUCCAUUCCAGAUGAUGCCAAGGCAUGGCUCUAGCUCAGGACGAUUACCUGUUCCUAAUUUUGGCACUGUUAAUGCAGCAGAAUGCAGACGGAGGGCAUAAGACUCAGUGGAGGGCAUUGUGGCAGCAGCUCGUGGCCCUCAGGCAGUGGCAAUGGGUCCUGGUGAGGAGAUCAGACAGGCUGCAUGCUAACAUGGCAGAGUGGAGAUAGCUGAUGUAGAUUGUGGAUUCCUGUGGUUCGCUGUGAAUUCUUCCUGUGCUGACUGGAAGAGACUAGAGCAGGACCACAAGCACAGUGAGGUGGGAUUCCAUCCUCCCGAAGACCUGGGAUUACCAACAUUGGCUCCAGAACUUUCACAUCAGGAAGCAGACCUUCAUAGACCUGUGUGAAGAGCUUGCCCUAACCCUCCAGUGCCAGGACAUGCAGAUGAGGGAGGCCAUACUAGUCCAGAAUCAUAGACACGUAAGACUGGAAGGAGCCUUGAGGUCAUCUAGGCCAGUCCCCUGCACUCAAGGCAGGGCUUCAUAAUAACUAGAAGUGGGUUGCUAUUUCCAUCUGUGAGCUGGCUAUAGGUGGCCGGUGAUAAGUUGGUGGCUAACCACUCUGAUGCUGGCAAGUCAACUGUUGGUGCUGUGGUGGUGGAGGUGUGUGAGGCAAUUAUUGCUGUGGUUUACGGAGAGGUGGUGGACAUUGCGAAUGUCCCCAAAUCAUAAGCUGACUUUGAGAGAAUGGGGUUCUAGAACUGUGCUGGGACCAUCAACAGCACAGACAUGUGCCCACUGUUUGCCUGCCACAAAGUGCACGUGAACAUGCCAACCAGAAUGGAUACUGCCAGCUCCUUACUCAGGCCUGAGCCGACCAUAAAGGGAGGUUUGUGAUCACCAAUGUUGAUCACCUAUGUUGGAUGCAUUGGCAGGGUGCAUGAGGUCAGGGUGCUCAGGAGAUCUAGUGUUUACCCGUUUGGACAAGAAGGGACUUUAUUCCCUCCCAGUAAUAUGGAUAUCAAGGGGGUUCUGUGCCCACUGAUAUUUUAGGGAACCCAGCCCAUCUAUCCUCCAUUGCCCUGGCUCAUGAAGCCCUGCCCAAACAUCAGAGCACCUGGUAGAAAGCACCUUUAUUACACACUGAGCAGUUCCAGGAAGGUGGUGGAAUGUGCAUUUGGCUUACUGAGGCCAAGACAGUACUGCCUCCAAACUUGUUUGGAUGCCAGUGUGCCCAACGCCACUUGUGUCAUUAGGAUGUGCUGCAUACUACACAACAUAUACAGAGAUAAGGGGGACAGCUUUCCCGCGGAGUGGGUUCAAGACACUGCUAAGAUACAUGCCCAUACAGGCAAUGAGAAAUGGCAUCUCUGAUCACUGGGGCUGGGUCCAAGAGACCAAGGAAACACUGUGUGCCCAUAUCUUUGCAUCAUAUGGGGAGAUGGGUGGGGAAAUGAGAUACUAUGAUAGGGGAAUGUGAUGUUGUGUAGUCUUGUAUUUUGUGUGAGUGUGUGUGUUUAUUUGCUAUUGCUUUUAUGUAAUUUUCUGAGAAUUUAUGAGACUUGAUUAAAAGUUUUGGAUAAAA